Molecule: long non-coding RNA, 1009 nt
Organism: Rhineura floridana
Lineage: Eukaryota; Metazoa; Chordata; Lepidosauria; Squamata; Rhineuridae
Exons: 3
Source: RefSeq, a predicted model, not a curated record
GCCUCCUUCCUCCCUCUUCCUCCGCCGCCGCCUCCUUAACUGACGCUCCGCGGGAGACACUGACACCGGCGCACGGAUAUCCACGGGGCGCUAUUUUUAGGCAACACGACCAAGGCGCUGCCGGAACUCCUUCUCGCCCGCCGCCCCUCUUCCUCCUCCUUCAAGCCUCUCCAGGAGGGCAAUACACAAUCCACUCACAGCCGUCGGUCUCGUAUCCCUCCGCCGCUUCACGCAGCCACCGCCGCCCCGUUUCCCGAGUCUCGACAGCGGCAAGACCGGCGGGCCAAGGAAGCGGGUGCCUGAGAAACCUAGCGCGCCUCCCCACGCUCGCUUUGGUUUACGUCUUUCCCCGUCGAAGAGCCACAGGCCGUGAGGACUACGUUUUGCUUAACAAUGCGGAACAUCUUAUAAGUCUCCAACAACAGUGCUCCUGGCAACAUUUAAAUCAGGGUAUUUCCCAUUCCACUCAAAUUGGAAGAAGUUCUAGGAUUGUCUGAGUCAUCUUUUCAGUGUAUAAAAAGCUCAGCUUCAACUAGUGAUUAAUGUGGGGUGUGCCCUGACAGUGCAGAAGAUUCAACAAAUUCCGUGUCGCAUCCUUUGAGCUGUUUCCCUCGCGCUGGAAUAAAAACGUUUGAAAAUAAGGGCUGGGAAGAAAGGAGCAGGAAACGUGCAAAGCCCAAUCCUCCAUGAAGCACCAGUGGAGAAGAUCAGUGAAAGGACAGGUGCUUGUGAAAUCAGAAGGUGUCAAUCAGUUAAGUCAACCAUGGCAGGCCGCUUUUCCUUUGCGAGGCUCAAGCAAGUCAGUGGAUAAUGAUGGCUCAUAUGCAACCAGUGUUCGGAAUGAACUAGUUUCAGUUUAACAAAAUUCACUGACUGAAUUGGUUCAAAGAAAUCUCUGAACUACACCUGAAAGUAGCUCCUAUAAUUGCCAGAUCAAAUGAAUGUAAAUUGAGUGCAUUUUGGGGUCAUGAUUUCUAGUUCAUCUUCAAUUUCAUUCUCUUAUGAGUCC